Small nuclear RNA from Mustela putorius furo (domestic ferret), 101 nucleotides. NCBI's taxonomy places the organism in Eukaryota, Metazoa, Chordata, Mammalia, Carnivora, Mustelidae. The record is from Ensembl.
GUGCUAGCUUGGGCAGCACAUAUACUAAAAUUGAAACAAUACAUUAAAGAUGAGCAUGGCCCUUGCACAAGACACAAAUUAGUGAAGCAUUCCUUGUUUUU